Long non-coding RNA from Acanthochromis polyacanthus (spiny chromis), 2018 nucleotides. RefSeq lists it as uncharacterized. The transcript has 2 exons. The record is from RefSeq and is a predicted model, not a curated record. NCBI's taxonomy places the organism in Eukaryota, Metazoa, Chordata, Actinopteri, Pomacentridae.
UUCCACCAUUUUAUUUUCUUAAAAAACAUUCUUUUUCAUUAAAUUUUUUAUAAGUUAGAUUGGUGACUAUUGUUUUUUAAAUUUCUUGCAUUUUAUUCUCCGUAGGACUGAGAUAUUGGAUAACUGUCCUGAAUAAGACGAAUCGUCUGCAGAAGUGAUGAACGUGUCAAACAGGCGUUGCGUUAAACCUGCAACUCUGACCGUAAUGUUACACUCGGUGACAAAAGAUGAAGUCAUAACAGCGAUAAAUGAAACGACGGCGAGCAUUAAUUAUAUUCUCUGCGUGUUUCUCCGUCGUCGCCUCGGUUUUGAUGCCACUCCGGAUCAGAAGCGCCGUCGAUAGCAGGACUUAGUGAAAGGUGACGUCCUGUCAAAGCCCCAACGCCAGACGCUUUGUAAUGACUUUAAAACUUCGACUUCUCGUCUCCCUCAAAUGACCGCAGUCUGGUCUGCUCCUCGUCAGCUUCCUUCUGAAACCAGAACCCCGUCUGCAGCUGUUUGUGCAGCCCUUUGAUUUUCCCUUUCCUCCUCAACAAUCGGGCCAACUGGUGCCGAGUCGCCGCUACUCGUCUGCUCUGAUGUGUGACAGCUCAACCAUUCCUCUGCAGGAACGAGUCUCAGCGUUUCAGCUGGUCGGCUCGCGACGGCCAGACUUCAGAGGCGGGUAAUCGUGUUUAUUACGGGAGGUCGGAGGUCGCGCGUCGCCUAAUGGCCUCGGCCGACUCUCUGCUUGUUGAGCGGCUGUCGCACUUGUUUCCACAGAAAACAAGAAGGAGGUGAGUUUAAAAGUCAUGGCUAACAGCAUAGCUUCUGUCCAAAGCAAGAAACAAACAGAAGAAUCUCUAUUUCAGACAGAAACCUGAGCUCAGCUGUGUGAUGUUGGAUUUUUUUGUUACUUAAAGAUUUGGUAGAAAUAUUGACAACCAAACGUCUGUUUUGAAUCCUGUCCCAGAUAGCAAACUAUGGGUGAAUCAAUGUUGGAUCUAUGUUGAGACCUAACGUCGAAAUUAUACAGAAAGCGCAAGGUUGAUAAAAUGUUGAGUCAACGUUUGCUUACAUAGAUUACAUGUUUGCAAACGUAGAUUCAACAUUAAUUAAACAUUGACCUGUCAAACAUUUUAAUUAAACCAAAAUACAACGUAGAUUCAAUGGUAUCUUUUAAACACAAACUUCAAUGUUGACAAAAUGUUGUUGAAUCAACGUUGAUCCAACCAUCAGUCUUCAACCGUAACCAAAAUUCAACCUUCUUAACCCUAAUUCAACAUUGAUUUAACAUCUUUUGCUAUCUGGGUAAAGUGUGAUUUAUGGUUGAAAAGCAAACGUUGACUCAACAUUUUAUCAACCUUGCACUUUCUGUAUAAUUUCUAUGUUAGGUCUCAACAUAGAUUCAACAUUGAUUCACCCAUAGUUUGCUAUCUGGGGUAGUCCUUGAGUCCUGCAGCUCUCUUCAUGUCUGUUCCAGGUUCACAUUUAUUAGUUUCACUUCCUUUCUUCCUCUUUGCUGUGUAGAGAUUCCACGGUUAUUACCGUUUUUCAUCGAGGCUUCGUCUUCCUGUGAGAUUUCACCCAGAGAUGGAUGGAACAGAAGAAUGAAAUCGCCCAUAAUAAAGACGUAGUUUCCACGGUUAUUCCGGUUUAUCUUCACACCAUGAAUCGAGGCUUUGUCUUCCCGUGAGAUUUCACCCGGAGACGGACGGAAUAGAAGAAUGAAAUCACUCUAAAUAAACCAGUGUACUGUCAUUUAAAGUUAUUUUAAUGCUAAUUUGCAGGGACUGUUAACUUUUCUGCUCUGAUGUGUGACAGCUUAUCCCAGGAGUGUCAAAUUCAUCUUAGUUCAGGUUCCACAUUCAGCCCAGUUUGAGCUCAAAUGAUCCGGACCAGUGAAAUCACAGCAUAAUAACCUAUAAAUAACCUCAACUCUCUCAAAAGAGUACAUCCUGACAACGAUCACAUUUAAGGAAUUAUCUCUUUACAAAACCUCACGAACAACCUGAAAAAUAAAUACGUUUUUAACAACA